Molecule: long non-coding RNA, 503 nt
Organism: Thunnus maccoyii (southern bluefin tuna)
Lineage: Eukaryota; Metazoa; Chordata; Actinopteri; Scombriformes; Scombridae
Exons: 3
Source: RefSeq, a predicted model, not a curated record
UGCUUUUCCCCAGGGUCAUAGGUCGUGUUCCCCUUUGUGCCUGGCUGUUGUUUCCCCGGGGGGAGGGGGAGCCUAUCUUCUUUUGUUGAGCCGGACUUGCAGGGCGAGGCCUCUACACUUGGAGGGAAAGAGGCAUUGUGGGGCAGUGUAGGUGCAUCUGGUCAAGAUGCUACCAGCAAGCUUUGACUGUACGAGACCUGACACCAGCAUGUGUGAUUGAAGAGGGAGAGAGAGAGAGAGAGAGAAAGAGAGAGAGAGAGGCCCGCAACCAUGAGUGGAGUCAGCCUUUUAGCAUUAGACACUGUUUAAUAGAGGUCACUGCUAACGCUUUUACUUUAAUAGAAAGUCUUUUUCUCAACAACCUUUUGCUUUGCUAAUUUAUCGCUGACAUGCUUAAUUUGUUAUUUAAGAUAAAGUAUUUCUCCUUUAAUUCUGUUUGAGCUGCCUGUUCAUGUGGGCUCGCAUGAGUGAAUGCAUUUCAUAUGAUAAAAAGCUACACCACA